This 36-nucleotide non-coding RNA is filed under the name unclassified sequences. Its description in RNAcentral is "DUF805b RNA". It matches the Rfam family "DUF805b RNA". From Rfam's summary of the family: Bacteroidetes, Chlorobi (1 example), Proteobacteria. Lineage (Flavobacteria) The record is from RNAcentral.
ACGCAGGAAGCCGAAAAUGCGGACAAAGAGUAGGCG